Molecule: small nucleolar RNA, 141 nt
Organism: Vulpes vulpes (red fox)
Lineage: Eukaryota; Metazoa; Chordata; Mammalia; Carnivora; Canidae
Source: Ensembl
CCAUGGUGAUGUACUGAUGGUGAGCUCUUCUCCGUGGGCCUUUCCUACUGUACCCUUGAAAGCUCGUCGUUCGUGCGUCCCUCAACCAUUGCCCAGGCUCCUCAUUGGUGGGCUGUGAGCACUGAAGGGGGCUCUACAAUG